Molecule: ribosomal RNA, 497 nt
Filed under: uncultured bacterium
Lineage: Bacteria
Description: partial 16S ribosomal RNA
Rfam family: Bacterial small subunit ribosomal RNA
Source: RNAcentral
GAUGAACGCUGGCGGCGUGCCUAAUACAUGCAAGUCGAGCGAACAGAUAAGGAGCUUGCUACUUUGACGUUAGCGGCGGACGGGUGAGUAACACGUGGGUAACCUACCUAUAAGACUGGAAUAACUCCGGGAAACCGGGGCUAAUGCCGGAUAACAUUUAGAACCGCAUGGUUCUAAAGUGAAAGAUGGUUUUGCUAUCACUUAUAGAUGGACCCGCGCCGUAUUAGCUAGUUGGUAAGGUAACGGCUUACCAAGGCAACGAUACGUAGCCGACCUGAGAGGGUGAUCGGCCACACUGGAACUGAGACACGGUCCAGACUCCUACGGGAGGCAGCAGUAGGGAAUCUUCCGCAAUGGGCGAAAGCCUGACGGAGCAACGCCGCGUGAGUGAUGAAGGUCUUCGGAUCGUAAAACUCUGUUAUUAGGGAAGAACAAAUGUGUAAGUAACUGUGCACGUCUUGACGGUACCUAAUCAGAAAGCCACGGCUAGCUACGUG